UUGCCGAGGCAAGUCAUGGCAGGUGCAAUCGUUCUCAUAUCUGUGGAUACUGGACUACAAAAACCAUAAAGACAGGACGAAAGUGGACAAAGGAAGAGGCCGGUUUUGGAUUCAGACGAUCACCAUGGUGAGCCACAGCCCGGCGCGCGUUGUGCUCAUGUUCGUUGGAUUGUCGGCCUUCUUAGUCUCCAUCACGCUCAACUCUCUGUCGGGAUUUGGUGCUAAAUCAGGUGUUUUCAAGCAGAGCACGGAGGACGUGACGCUCAAGUACACGACACCCAUCACUCCCGCCCAGUGGGCUCUGUUUGUUUGGGAUUUCAUCUUUUUUUGGGUUUUCGGCAUGUUUUUAUACUUUUUAGUGGGACUCUGUCGAAGGAGGGCUUACAACUGGAUGUACACCACGCCUGCAGUGCUGCCCUACGGGUUUCACGUCUCUUUCAUCAUCAAUAUUUGCUUGAACAUUACAUGGCUGUUUCUGUUUGACAGAGAGUUGUUGCUGCCAGCGCUGAUCGUCUCCACACUAAUGACGCUCACGGAUUAUAUGAUCCUAUUCUUCUCCUGUCAUGGACUGAAGGUCUAUGGAGCGUGGUUACACAAAUAUUACAAUGCAGACUUCUGGGUCAUCAGAAUAUUGGUGCAGAACGGAGUAGCAGUGUAUGCGACGUGGGGGACCCUCUCCACGCUGCUCAGCCUGACCACGUACUUGCAGCAUCAGACGGAGACCUUGAGGUGUGACUGUGCGAUGCUGUCGCUGCUGCUGCUCCUGAUGGAGCUGUUGGCCUGGUUUCUGUUAGAGAACUUCUACCUCGACGAGCACGUGCGUUACAUUGUGACCAUCUACCCCGUUGUGAUCCUGUGGUUGACCGGCAUCCUGAGCAAUUCGGACUACCCUGAAAGUCCGGUUUACAUAUUUGCAGCUUUCAUCUUGGCGAUUUCCUGCAUGGUCUUCGUGGCACGUGUUGCCAUGGUAACAUGGAGGCAUCACAAACAGCCGCUAUACAGCGACAGUAGACCCAGUCUGUCACCAGUGGAAAUAGCCUUAACACAGACGGUGGACAAACGCCAUGGUGAGGCUCCAGAUGUCUUCCCUCGCUGUGGCGCGCGGUGCCCACGGAGUGAUGCGCGGUGGGAGCGUCGCCCUGGCCGUCAUCGCCCAGGUGCUCUCAGACGUCUUCCGUUACCUCGCAAAGGAAAGCAACGUGCCCAACGCUCUGUUUGCGACCUCGCCCAGGAAUGUGAGCGAGACCUUCCCCCUGGAGGUCACCAUGGACUGGUGGUCUGACAGCUGCUGGCUUAUCAUCGACUUGUGGUCCAAGGGAUGGCUCUUGUAUGCGGUGGUCAACAUUAUUGUGAGAGCAGACCUCGGCCCUGAAAUCCACCCCGCGGUAUUCUAUCUCUCCUGGACCGCGAUUAACGUGGCAAGGAUUUGCUUGAUGUAUCUAUGGGACAAACACGAUCUACUGGGAGCCGUCAUACUGGGGUGGGUUCCCCCAUUCCUCGGCUUCUACAUGCUCUACGUGUCCUGCUCUAACCUCAGAGCGCACGAGGCCUGGCUGGCCGUUAACAGGCCCCGUGCGCUCUCCUGGACGCGUUACCUGACCCAGAACGGUUUGGCGGCGUUUGCCUGGUGGUCUCUCCUGAACGCCGUGCUGGGUCUCGGCAUCGUGCUCAAGUACAGAGCCCGUGUGCCCGACCCACUGACGAGCACCUUUGUGCUCACCGUCGUCUCCUCCUGCAUCAUAAUAUGGUUCAUCCUACAGAGCUGCCUGUUGGCCAAGUACAUGCGCUACGUAUUCAGCGUUUAUGCCAUUCUCAUCGUGGGCCUGGGUGCCAUGUUCACCAGAAGCUACCGUUUGCACGAUCUCGCCGCAAACACAGUCUAUUGUGGUUUCCUAAUGCUCCUGAUGACCAUCAUGAACUCCAUCCAUUCGGUCUCCACGUGUCUCAGUGCGGAUGAGUCAAACAAACCCGCCGCCGCGGAGCCGUCCGCCACGUCUAAGGGCCGUGAGACAGUCUGGCACACCGACCUCAGGGGCCCCGACGUCAAGAACGGCCCCUUCAAGAUCUGAGUUCACGCGAUAGAAGAGAACAAUCACACGAAUCCAAUCGCGUCGAGCAGGUGUGCACUUUACAUUAAUCACCAGGAGGGAGCAGCACAGACCAGCUUCAAAGCACAGUGGUUCCAGAUGUAGAGAGAAAGUCCACAUGUUGAGCACGCGAAUAAAAACUGCAUUUGAUCAAUUAGAUUAACAGAUUAAAAGGAUAUCAUCUAGUGAGGUUCAUGGUACUUUUGUUUUAUUGAGGCCAAAUUGCAUUUUCGUCUUCUACAAUAAAGGAAGGAAAUAAACUAUUGCACACUGGAGCUCUCAGUCACAAACUGAAUCAUAAUUGCUUGUUAUCUUUACUGUCGGUUGCCCAUGACGAUGACCUUUUUUUAGAUUGUCGAACAAAACAAAAGUUCAUUAAAACCCCUGCAUGACCUCUCAGGAGAGAUAAUCACACGGCCAAAGUUUACAGGCGCCCUCCGGCUCGAUGCGGCGUUAAGGAACGGAUUAUCAAACACGUCUGCUGGCGACGACGCUGCGC
Molecule: long non-coding RNA, 2586 nt
Organism: Gasterosteus aculeatus aculeatus (three-spined stickleback)
Lineage: Eukaryota; Metazoa; Chordata; Actinopteri; Perciformes; Gasterosteidae
Source: Ensembl